This 891-nucleotide ribosomal RNA is filed under the name uncultured archaeon. Its description in RNAcentral is "bacterial SSU rRNA". It matches the Rfam family "Archaeal small subunit ribosomal RNA", at positions 21 to 903 of the family's 1478-position model. The record is from RNAcentral.
GGUCACUGCUAUUGGGGUUCGGCUAAGCCAUGCGAGCGGAGGGCGCGGUCGAAAGAUCGUGGCCCCGCACACGGCUCAGUAACACGUAGUCAACCUACCCUUGGGACGGGGACAACCUCGGGAAACUGAGGCUAAUCCCCGAUAGGCGGGGGACGCUGGGAUGCCUCCUCGCCCAAAGCUCCGGCGCCCGAGGAUGGGACUGCGGCCUAUCAGGCUGUUGGUGGUGUAACGGACCACCAAACCUACGACGGGUACGGGCGAUGGGAGUCGGAGCCUGGAGAUGGGGACUGAGACAAGGCCCCAGGCCCUACGGGGCGCAGCAGGCGCGAAAACUCCGCAAUGCGCGCAAGCGUGACGGGGGGAUCCCAAGUGCCGUUGGUCUUUCGAUCGACGGCUUUUAGGAAGUCUAGGAAGCUUCCAGAAUAAGGGCUGGGCAAGACUGGUGCCAGCCGCCGCGGUAACACCAGCAGCCCAAGUGGUGGCCACGAUUAUUGGGCCUAAAGCGCUCGUAGCCGGAUCAAUAAGUCCCUUGUGAAAUCGGGCCGCCCAACGGUUCGGCGUGCAAGGGAUACUGUUGGUCUUGAGGCCGGGAGAGGUCGGAGGUACUCCUGGGGUAGCGGUGAAAUGCUCUAAUCCUAGGGGGACCACCAGUGGCGAAGGCGUCCGACCAGAACGGACCUGACGGUGAGGGGCGAAGGCUAGGGGAGCGAACGGGAUUAGAUACCCCGGUAGUCCUAGCUGUAAAGCAUGCGGGCCAGGUGUCUAGCGCUCCUUGAGGGCGCUAUGUGCCGGAGGGAAGCCGUUAAGCCCGCCGCCUGGGAAGUACGGUCGCAAGGCUGAAACUUAAAGAAAUUGGCGGGGGAGCACCACAAGAGGUGGGACCUGCGGUUC